AAGCUCGUAGUUGAAUUUCGGGCCUGGCUGGGUGGUCAGCUCAACGGCGCGUAUUGUCUGGCUGGGCCUUACCUCUUGGUGAGCCGGCGUGUCCUUUAUUGGAUGCGUCGGGGAACCAGGACUUUUACCUUGAGAAAAUUAGAGUGUUCAAAGCAGGCCUAUGCCCGAAUACAUUAGCAUGGAAUAAUAAAAUAGGACGUGCGGUUCUAUUUUGUUGGUUUCUAGAGUCGCCGUAAUGAUUAAUAGGGAUAGUUGGG
RNAcentral lists this ribosomal RNA (257 nucleotides) under uncultured Basidiomycota. RNAcentral's name for it is "partial 18S ribosomal RNA". It matches the Rfam family "Eukaryotic small subunit ribosomal RNA", at positions 624 to 886 of the family's 1831-position model. Lineage: Eukaryota; Fungi; Basidiomycota. The record is from RNAcentral.